Molecule: ribosomal RNA, 513 nt
Filed under: uncultured bacterium
Lineage: Bacteria
Description: partial 16S ribosomal RNA
Rfam family: Bacterial small subunit ribosomal RNA
Source: RNAcentral
GAUGAACGCUGGCGGCGUGCCUAAUACAUGCAAGUCGAGCGAACAGACGAGGAGCUUGCUCCUCUGACGUUAGCGGCGGACGGGUGAGUAACACGUGAAUAACCUACCUAUAAGACUGGGAUAACUUCGGGAAACCGGAGCUAAUACCGGAUAAUAUAUUGAACCGCAUGGUUCAAUAGUGAAAGACGGUUUUGCUGUCACUUAUAUAUGGAUCCGCGCCGCAGUAGCUAGUUGGUAAGGUAACGGCUUACCAAGGCAACGAUGCGUAGCCGACCUGAGAGGGUGAUCGGCCACACUGGAACUGAGACACGGUCCAGACUCCUACGGGAGGCAGCAGUAGGGAAUCUUCCGCAAUGGGCGAAAGCCUGACGGAGCAACGCCGCGUGAGUGAUGAAGGUCUUCGGAUCGUAAAACUCUGUUAUUAGGGAAGAACAAAUGUGUAAGUAACUAUGCACGUCUUGACGGUACCUAAUCAGAAAGCCACGGCUAACUACGUGCCAGCCGCCGCGGUAA